UGCUCUCCUCGCGCAGAAUUUUAAAGAGGUUCAUUAGGGGUGUUUAAUUUCCGUCCCUAUCGUGGCGUUUAAGGGCAAGCGAAUGGUCACGACAGGAGGGGACGAGCGACGGGGGGGCGGCGGCGGCAAAGAUCCCAAUCGCGCAGACGGGGUGGGAAGGGAGGCAGGAGCCAGCCCUACCGGCUCUUGUGCGGCGUCGGCCGCCGGUGGGAAGAGAGGUUGGAGUGACAGCGCCUCCCGUGCUGCCGCUGAGGCCGGCGUUGGCGAGAGGGGAGGCGGGGGCGCUGGCGCCACCACCCGUGCGGCAGCGGCGGCGGCGACGUCGAGAAGUUGAGCUACUGCUUCUUCUUCCUCGGGAAGCACGGCGCGCAGCUCCCGUUCCAGCCGUACAUGCAGACGCCGCAGUGCGGCAUGCUGAAGUCGGUGCAGCCGGUGCGGGCGCGGAUGCAGCGGAAGCUGCAGGAGAUGUCCAUAGAAUUUAAGAACCCCAUACUUCAACUUAUACACGCGUUGAAGUGACUAUAGCUACUAUUCUAAUAAUUUGCCCGUUUAGUUUUACCACUUUGACAAUGAUCGAACUCGUCAGCCAAGUAGCGACUCAAGGAGUGACUACACCGACUCGAAGUCACAGACGGGGGAUGAGUGCUCGGUGCGCACUGUCUCGUAUAACUGUUAUAGUGACUGAAUUAGUUUCUCUAUUAGUUCUUACUGUUCCGGAUACAACAUCUGCCACUACAAAUGAAGAGGCAGCUGUUAAAAGGGCUUAUAGAGUCAAAUAGACCGUCCUAUGACCUGGUGUUAGCACGACCAAGUGCCCAACGACAGCUAUGUUCUUUCGCCUUGGGACGUCUGAAACGUAACACCUUCCGACGAUUCCUUCCACUCGGAAGAACCCUCUCGGGAACCCCAGUCCCUUCCGGUCCUACCGUAUAACUUACGUCACGUUACUCACGAGUGAUAAAUCCCGUACACAAACUAUAAGUACCACCUCCCUUUCUAAACUAUAAAGGAGUAGUACUCUUACUCGAACGUGUUUCAGCUCGUCGAAUAGGUCUUUCACUCCAGUUUACGACCUACGUAUUACCGAAAUAAUUGUAACUACUAGUCUUUUACAGUUUUAGUCAAUUAUUGAAGAAGUGCUAGUCUCUAUAAUAUUGAGACAUAGUAGGAAACCGCGACUCUAAAAAGGACUACGCGUGGGUAAUAUUUAGUCUGCGCUUAGUAAGACUAUUUCGUGAACUCUAACGUAGACUAGCACACAUGAUGUAAAUAGUCUGAAAUAUACUGACGCUACUUCACCACAGAGACGUACCACUUCUCUUAUGUAGACAGGGUCAGGGUCGGCUCCUCGUUUUUGACCAACUCCUGGUGCUAUUUCGAAAAAACCUUAGUUACAGUCUACUAGAAGCUUGCUGUCUACACGACCUACCGAAGUACCUCGACGACUUCCGUUAUUUGCCGUUAAAUUUACUAAACUUCUUCGACGUCGUUUUUGACCUUGUUGUUUUCUUCUUCGUUGUCGUCGUUUUCUUCGUCGUCGUCUUCGUUGUCGCCGGUGUCUUCGUCGGCCUUCUAGUGUAAGUUCGAGACUUACGUGACCCUCGUCUUUAAUUUGUGUUCGAUAGGUAGGAACCAGACUACGGUGGGAGAGGAAACCGUCUCCAUGACUUCGUCGACUUCCUGUUCCGUGACUUCGCCCGUCCCGACUGGCUCCUUAGCGACGUCCUCGUCUAACUCGUCUCCUAGCGGCGCUCCUUGUUGUUCGUCAAGCUGCACAGCCUGGUCUAGUCCUUCCUCGAGCGCCCGUUUCCGUAGCGGGACUACCUGCUCGGAUGGCCCUGCCACACCUCUGGUACGCUUGCCCUCAUCAGCCACUAAUUAUACACGGACCAAAUUGUCUACUGUCACAUGUUGCCUGCCUAGAAUAACGCGACCACGUCUAAAAUGAGUACGUUAUAGCGGUCAAAACCUGCACCACAAAGACAUCCCCAAGGUUCAACUGAGUUCUCUGCUCCGGGCACAACACAGCCAACAACGCAUCCUCCUGUUUAACUUCCCAGGAGGCAUAUAACCAUAUGAAGUGAUAAUAAUCAGAGGGCACAACUUAAACUUACUUACUUUACCACUUCAACCCGCAGC
RNAcentral lists this ribosomal RNA (2139 nucleotides) under Triticum aestivum (bread wheat). RNAcentral describes it as "partial small subunit ribosomal RNA". Lineage: Eukaryota; Viridiplantae; Streptophyta; Magnoliopsida; Poales; Poaceae. The record is from RNAcentral.